GUCUACGGCCACGCCACCCUGAACGCGCCCGAUCCCGUCUGAUCUCGGAAGCUACGCAGGGUCGGGCCUGGUUAGUACUCGGAUGGGAGGCCACCUAGGAAGACCAGGCGCUGUAGGCG
RNAcentral lists this ribosomal RNA (119 nucleotides) under Pteropus alecto (black flying fox). Lineage: Eukaryota; Metazoa; Chordata; Mammalia; Chiroptera; Pteropodidae. The record is from RNAcentral.